This is a long non-coding RNA of Homo sapiens (human), 1462 nucleotides long. Ensembl annotates it as long intergenic non-protein coding RNA 208. Lineage: Eukaryota; Metazoa; Chordata; Mammalia; Primates; Hominidae. The record is from Ensembl.
ACCUAGAACCCAACUGGCCCCAGUGCCAGCAACUGGGCACUGUCCUCAUGGAAACCAAGCACCUCAAACCCAGUUGGCCCCAGUGCCAGGAACCGAGCACUAUUGUCAUGUAGACCAAGCACCUCGAACCCAGCCGGCCCCAGUGUUAGGAACCGGGUACUGUCGUCAUCAGCAUCAGGGUCAACCUCUGGACCCUGGCUUCCUCAGCAUUAACAGGAAAGGUUAGAAGCCCUGUUAGGUCUCUUCCAACUUUGUCUAUAACUCUGAAAAAGCAACGUGGAGUUUCUCUGGCACACUCUUUGAGGAAAUAGAAUUCGCCAAACCAAUGCAAAUGGAGAAAUAUAUUUCACCUGAGUAGGGAAGAAAAACCUUGUAAAGGCUUCCAAGAACCUCCAGAAACCUACUGGAUGAGCUUACCACUAAUCUCUUUUAAAGCAAUUCCCUGACAACACUCUGUUAAUCUCUCCUGAGCUCCUUAGUACCCCCUGAAAGUAGCAGGACAGCCUUACUUUCCAAAUCUUCACCUUUGCAAGAGUCUAGUCUGUGAGUCCAGGCUCACCUGAAGUCUGAGAUUUUGGGAGCUUUGGAGAAUUCUGGAUAAAAUCCCUUACUGGACUUAGCAGGAAUCUCCGAUCUGUGGAGAAGUCUCCUCAGAGACUGAGCAUCUGUUCCUAGCUCCCUCCGGGCUCUGAUGCCAUUAAUGACUGCAGGAAGCUGUUCCAGGCCUCAAUACAGAAAGAACCCUUAGACCCUCAGAGCUGGAGGUGUGCAGACUGGUCUCUGCCUGGGCUCAACCUCUGUGAUUUCUGGCAAGUUACUGAAAUUCUCUGUGCCUCAGGUUUCUUUUAUGAAAAUUAUAACAGUUUUAUCUCCUAGGGUUAUGGUGAAUACCUAGGGCAGGACCGGGCACUUAGAAAGCUCUCAUCCAAUGUCCCCUAACUCUUGGAGACAAUAAUCAAGACUUAGAGGAACUGACUGGGGGAAACGUCAACACUUUCUUGGUUCUCUCAGAGGCCGGUGGAGACGCUGCUCCAUUCUGCCUGGAUCAUUUCCCAGGGCAGACUUACCCGGCACUGAGUGCAGGCCUGGAGGGAGACACUUCACUUAGAUCCUUUCACCGGAUGGCAUGAUAAUGCUGUGGGAAGGUACAGAUGAGGAAACCAAGGCUCAUGGAAGUUGCGUGAAUUGCUCCAGGUCACAAGGCUUUUGACCUCCAGUCCAGCGUCCUUCCUGCGUUCCCCCAUUGGCAAGGUUUGCCAACAGGGUGGGCCCAGCUGCUCCCAGCACAGCUGGCCCUGGAGAGCACUUUGCAGGGACAGAGUCAGCCACGUGAGAAAGGACUUGGCAUACUGUAGGAUUUAAGGGUUCUAAUCAGGGCUUCCCAGCAAAUUCUGUUGGGCCAAUGUGGACCUCUCAAGUAUGAGGUUGGACCAUAUAAAACUGCAAUUCUGUAGAUCAAAAA